Molecule: long non-coding RNA, 1187 nt
Organism: Sarcophilus harrisii (Tasmanian devil)
Lineage: Eukaryota; Metazoa; Chordata; Mammalia; Dasyuromorphia; Dasyuridae
Exons: 3
Source: RefSeq, a predicted model, not a curated record
AUGAGAAAAAAAUUAAAUAAUCAAUUAUUGGGAAGAUCUAGCUGUUCCACUAUAACUUCCUAGCCAGGAUAAACUUUAAUGGAUAAAGAGUGAAAGUCUGGAGUUAGGAAGACCUAGGUGAGAAUCUCACCAUAGGUAACCCAUGAACUAGAUAUUUAGGGAGUUGUCAAAGAUCAGCGACAAGACAAGUCAAGGUGGCUGGUGAUGACCUAGGAUUUGGUGGAUGACCUUGGUGUUUUUGACCAAGCUCUCAGUGCCCUACAAUAACUCCGAGGUGUUCAGAGGGACUAGCAGCUCUGGUGUGAGGGCGUGUUGAGUCCUUUUGGGGCUGGUCGUCCACCUUUGAGGUUUGCCUGUUACCUAACGGUCCUUGGACUCCAAGAAGUUUUACUAUGGCCAGUGGCCAGUGGCCAGCCCUUGGUACAACCAGGUGGAGGCUACCACAAGCCUCAGACCCACUGGUGAGUUAUGGGAACAUCUAUCCUACGUGAAGAUGCCUUCUGGAGAGCAGGCAAAUGAGAACCACUUGUUUUAGCAGCCGUGAAUAAUAGCAAUAUACUUACAACCUCAAUGAAUUAACAAUAUCCUCAGCAGCACCCAAUGCCUGACUGCCAUUCUCUGCAGGCCUGCUCCUCCUGGGCCCUUCUGGAACCAAUUUUUCUGUGUGUCCACCAUGAAAAGCCCCCAACACACUGAAGUUAUUCUUCUAAAUUGCUCCUAUCAGUGAAAUGAUCAUCAAAUGUUUGAGAAUAUUAACUCUGCUUAAACUUCACCAGAUCUCUCUUACCUCUAGACUCUCAAAGGGAUCUUAGGGAUCAUCUUGGCCCCAUCCCUUGUUGUAUAGAUUUGGAAUCUGGGGCCACAAGAGCUUAAGUGACUUGUGAGAAUCACAAACACGGUAAGUGAAUGAGUACCAGAGGAGGGAACUGAGCCCAGGUCUUCUCAUUUUAAAUUCAGCCUAAAUUUCCACCCUACCUGGUCAAACAUAUACUCAUGUUUUUCCCUUUUGGACUCUGUUCAUAUUAUUUAUGUACAUACAAUAUAUGGACCUUGAUAUUUAUAUGUUUUCUCUCCAUUAAAAUAAAUUCUUCUGGGAAGCAGAGAUUGUCUUGUUUUUGUUGGUUUUUCUUUGGAUCCCCAGGACUACUUAACACAGAGCUUGGCCCAGAGUAAGGCCUUUUAAUAAA